UAUUUGAUUUUCAGGAACACUCAGUCGCUGCUUUCACCCGUGUUCUUGAUGAGGCCAGUGCUGUUCUUCUCUUCAGAGACAAAGUCUAUCUUCAUCCCGAUAAGGUAUAUACAAGUGGGGAAUGCAGUUGCAUUUCUAGUAUCUAUGGCAUUCGGAAGUAUGUUGGCAAAGGGAAGCUAAGGAGUCUCAAAUAAUGAACCCUUGACAACAACUGAUCUGAAAUUCCCUCUGAGUCCUGCACAAUUGUUUGUGUGAAUAGCAUUGGAUUAAUUAACCAUUCUUAAAACCCAUUUCUGUUUGCAGAGUGCUGGUGGACCGGGCACUGGAAGUGAUAUUGGGCUGAUUGCGAGGUUCUGCUGUGGGCCCUUUGUCGGUCCAUAUUUCCUCACACGACCCAUUAUGUUGUGGGCCAUUUUUAGGUGGAUUUCAGUUUGUAGUUAGUGGAUUAUUAAUCAUCUUGUGUGGUAAAGAUGAUGCUUGUGCAAGUUUUCUUUAACAUAUUCAAGAUCUUUAUGAGGUUGAUGUUGCCACAUCAACUCUCUGCUUCAUUUGCUGCUAUGAUGAUGGUUUUAUUUGCAUCUGAUUCUAUCUGUUUCUUUUACCAGUUUGUGAAUGUUUUUAGUUGCAGCUGCUAAUCCAUGACAAAUGGCGGAACAUGGGUAUUAGUACUGCUGCACACAGUUCUAAAGAAAAAAUAAGAAUUCCUAGAGUAAAAGC
This is a non-coding RNA of Camellia sinensis, 717 nucleotides long. The record is from RefSeq and is a predicted model, not a curated record. NCBI's taxonomy places the organism in Eukaryota, Viridiplantae, Streptophyta, Magnoliopsida, Ericales, Theaceae.